This 255-nucleotide ribosomal RNA is filed under the name uncultured bacterium. Its description in RNAcentral is "partial 16S ribosomal RNA". It matches the Rfam family "Bacterial small subunit ribosomal RNA", at positions 796 to 1041 of the family's 1533-position model. The record is from RNAcentral.
CUGGCCCUAAACGAUGUCCACUAGGUCGAUGACUCUCUGACGGGUUGUUGGCCGCAAUAAAAACGUUAAGUGGACCGCCUGGGGAGUACGGUCGCAAGGCUAAAACUCAAAGGAAUUGACGGGGGCUCACACAAGCGGUGGAGCAUGUUGCUUAAUUCGAUGCAACGCGAAGAACCUUAUCCUGGGCUUGACAUGCUUGGAUACCUACCUGGAAACAGAAUAGGUUGCCCUUCGGGGUGAAACUUGCACAGGUGC